GACGAGCGCUGGCGGCGUGCUUAACACAUGCAAGUCGAACGGUGAAGCGCCUUCCUUUUUGGUGGGUGUGGAUGAGUGGCGAACGGGUGAGUAACACGUGAGUAACCUGCCCCCUUCUUCUGGAUAACCGCAUGAAAGUGUGGCUAAUACGGGAUAUUCUGGGUCUGUCGCAUGAUGGGUCUGGGAAAGAUAUUGUUUCGGUGGGGGAUGGGCUCGCGGCCUAUCAGCUUGUUGGUGGGGUGAUGGCCUACCAAGGCGGUGACGGGUAGCCGGCCUGAGAGGGUGGACGGUCACACUGGGACUGAGACACGGCCCAGACUCCUACGGGAGGCAGCAGUGGGGAAUAUUGCACAAUGGGCGCAAGCCUGAUGCAGCGACGCCGCGUGAGGGAUGGAGGCCUUCGGGUUGUGAACCUCUUUCGCCAGUGAAGCAGGCCUGCCUCGUUUGUGGGUGGGUUGACGGUAGCUGGAUAAGAAGCGCCGGCUAACUACGCG
RNAcentral lists this ribosomal RNA (494 nucleotides) under uncultured bacterium. Its description in RNAcentral is "partial 16S ribosomal RNA". It matches the Rfam family "Bacterial small subunit ribosomal RNA", at positions 28 to 507 of the family's 1533-position model. The record is from RNAcentral.